UACGUAGGGUGCGAGCGUUGUCCGGAAUUAUUGGGCGUAAAGAGCUUGUAGGCGGUCUGUCGCGUCUGCUGUGAAAAUCCGGGGCUCAACCCCGGACUUGCAGUGGGUACGGGAAGACUAGAGUGUGGUAGGGGAGACUGGAAUUCCUGGUGUAGCGGUGAAAUGCGCAGAUAUCAGGAGGAACACCGAUGGCGAAGGCAGGUCUCUGGGCCGCUACUGACGCUGAGAAGCGAAAGCAUGGGGAGCGAACAGG
This 253-nucleotide ribosomal RNA is filed under the name uncultured bacterium. Its description in RNAcentral is "partial 16S ribosomal RNA". It matches the Rfam family "Bacterial small subunit ribosomal RNA", at positions 524 to 776 of the family's 1533-position model. The record is from RNAcentral.